RNAcentral lists this ribosomal RNA (740 nucleotides) under uncultured marine bacterium. Its description in RNAcentral is "bacterial SSU rRNA". It matches the Rfam family "Bacterial small subunit ribosomal RNA", at positions 9 to 795 of the family's 1533-position model. The record is from RNAcentral.
GAGUUUGAUCCUGGCUCACAACGAACGCUGGCGGCAGGCCUAACACAUGCAAGUCGAGCGCGCCUUUCGGGGUGAGCGGCGGACGGGUUAGUAACGCGUGGGAAUAUGCCCUUUGGUACGGAAUAGCCUCUGGAAACGGAGAGUAAUACCGUAUGCGCCCUUCGGGGGAAAGAUUUAUCGCCAAAGGAUUAGCCCGCGUUAGAUUAGGUAGUUGGUGGGGUAAUGGCCUACCAAGCCUACGAUCUAUAGCUGGUUUUAGAGGAUGAUCAGCAACACUGGGACUGAGACACGGCCCAGACUCCUACGGGAGGCAGCAGUGGGGAAUCUUGGACAAUGGGGGCAACCCUGAUCCAGCCAUGCCGCGUGAGUGAUGAAGGCCUUAGGGUCGUAAAGCUCUUUCGCCUGUGAAGAUAAUGACGGUAGCAGGUAAAGAAACCCCGGCUAACUCCGUGCCAGCAGCCGCGGUAAUACGGAGGGGGUUAGCGUUGUUCGGAAUUACUGGGCGUAAAGCGCACGUAGGCGGAUCGGAAAGUUGGGGGUGAAAUCCCGGGGCUCAACCCCGGAACUGCCUCCAAAACUAUCGGUCUAGAGUUCGAGAGAGGUGAGUGGAAUUCCGAGUGUAGAGGUGAAAUUCGUAGAUAUUCGGAGGAACACCAGUGGCGAAGGCGGCUCACUGGCUCGAUACUGACGCUGAGGUGCGAAAGUGUGGGGAGCAAACAGGAUUAGAUACCCUGGUAGUC